RNAcentral lists this ribosomal RNA (562 nucleotides) under uncultured bacterium. Its description in RNAcentral is "bacterial SSU rRNA". It matches the Rfam family "Bacterial small subunit ribosomal RNA", at positions 338 to 916 of the family's 1533-position model. The record is from RNAcentral.
CCUACGGGAGGCAGCAGUCGGGAAUAUUGGACAAUGGGCGCAAGCCUGAUCCAGCAAUACCGCGUGUGUGAAGAAGGCCUGCGGGUUGUAAAGCACUUUCAGUUGGGAAGAUAAUGACGUUACCAACAGAAGAAGCACCGGCUAACUCCGUGCCAGCAGCCGCGGUAAUACGGAGGGUGCAAGCGUUAAUCGGAAUUACUGGGCGUAAAGCGUGCGUAGGCGGCCUGUUAAGUCAGAUGUGAAAGCCCCGGGCUUAACCUGGGAACUGCAUCUGAUACUGGGAGGCUAGAAUGUGGGAGAGGAGAGUGGAAUUUCCGGUGUAGCGGUGAAAUGCAUAGAGAUCGGAAGGAACACCAGUGGCGAAGGCGGCUCUCUGGACCAACAUUGACGCUGAGGCACGAAAGCGUGGGUAGCAAACAGGAUUAGAUACCCUGGUAGUCCACGCCGUAAACGAUGUCAACUAGCCGCCGGCCUCACUCUAGAGGUCGGUGGUGCAGCUAACGCAUUAAGUUGACCGCCUGGGGAGUACGGCCGCAAGGUUGAAACUGAAAGGAAUUGACGG